ACACUGAAUACAUAGGUGUGCGAGGCGAACCGGGUGAACUGAAACAUCUCAGUAGCUCGAGGAAAAGACAUCAACCGAGAUUCCGAAAGUAGUGGCGAGCGAAAUCGGAGUAGCCCUCGUGUUUUAGCAGUUGGCAUAUCAGAACGGAAUGGAAAGUCCGGCCAUAGCGGGUGAUAGCCCCGUAUGAGAAAUGUCGAUUGUGGAACUAGGCACGAAUAGAGUAGGGCGGGACACGUGAAAUCCUGUCUGAAUAUGGGGGGACCAUCCUCCAAGGCUAA
This 278-nucleotide ribosomal RNA is filed under the name Prymnesium parvum. RNAcentral's name for it is "partial Bacterial large subunit ribosomal RNA". It matches the Rfam family "Bacterial large subunit ribosomal RNA", at positions 155 to 469 of the family's 2925-position model. The record is from RNAcentral. Lineage: Eukaryota; Haptophyta; Prymnesiales; Prymnesiaceae.